CCUACGGGUGGCUGCAGUGGGGAAUAUUGGACAAUGGGGGCAACCCUGAUCCAGCCAUGCCGCGUGUGUGAAGAAGGCCCUCGGGUUGUAAAGCACUUUCAGUGAGGAAGAACGCCUGGUGGUUAAUACCCAUCAGGAAAGACAUCACUCACAGAAGAAGCACCGGCUAACUCCGUGCCAGCAGCCGCGGUAAUACGGAGGGUGCGAGCGUUAAUCGGAAUUACUGGGCGUAAAGCGCGCGUAGGUGGCUUGAUAAGCCGGGUUGUGAAAGCCCCGGGCUCAACCUGGGAACGGCAUCCGGAACUGUCAAGCUAGAGUGCAGGAGAGGAAGGUAGAAUUCCCGGUGUAGCGGUGAAAUGCGUAGAGAUCGGGAGGAAUACCAGUGGCGAAGGCGGCCUUCUGGACUGACACUGACACUGAGGUGCGAAAGCGUGGGUAGCAAACAGGAUUAGAUACCCGAGUAGUC
This 466-nucleotide ribosomal RNA is filed under the name Vreelandella stevensii. Its description in RNAcentral is "partial 16S ribosomal RNA". It matches the Rfam family "Bacterial small subunit ribosomal RNA", at positions 338 to 795 of the family's 1533-position model. Lineage: Bacteria; Pseudomonadati; Pseudomonadota; Gammaproteobacteria; Oceanospirillales; Halomonadaceae. The record is from RNAcentral.